Molecule: ribosomal RNA, 790 nt
Filed under: Eurylepta cornuta
Lineage: Eukaryota; Metazoa; Platyhelminthes; Polycladida; Euryleptidae
Description: 12S ribosomal RNA
Source: RNAcentral
CAAAGGUGUAAAAACUUAGCCCUAAGGCUAUUUGGUUUUGGUAGCAUAAAGGACAAUAGGCCUAACUAGCAGUAGAUAAUUUAUUUAAAUAUUCUAGAACAAAUUUUUGUUUAGAUUUCGUUAGUAGUGCAUAUUUCUCUAUAAGUGAAAGCUUGAUUAGGAGGUCUAUUAAAAUAAGGGGCGAAUACAUAGUGCCAGCAGCUGCGGUUAUACUUGAUCUUUUCCUUUAAGCUAGGGUAAAAUGGAAAUAAUUUGAUAUUAAGAAAAUAAAUAUUAGCAUAUGGAGGAAUAAGCUUAUGAAUCAAACAUACUUUUUAUAAAUAAAUUCCUAAAGUUAGAUUAAAAACUAAGAUUAGGCACCUUAUUAUUCUAAACAUAAAUUUUUAGACCCAUAGUAGUAGAAGUCUCGAAAUUAAAAAGACCUGGCGGCAGCCUUACUCACCGGGGGAGCGUGACGCAUAAUAGAUAACCCGCGUUAUAAUUAACCUUUUUUACUUAGUUAGUGUACGGCCGUUUUCAGCCUAGCUCUGCAGAGCAUAGACUUAGGUAUUACUGUUGUAGUUAAGACAGGUCAUUGUGCUGCUUAUAAAAAGGUGUUAGUUUCGCUAUUUUGAUUGGAAAAAGGGAAAAGCUUUUGUAAUAAGGCUUAGAAUUAAGACUCGGCAGUAAUGGGGAACUAUUUAGUCCCCAUGAAGGUAAAUUUUUCUAAACACACAUACUUACUAUUUUAAUUAUGACUACUUGAACGAGAAAGCAUAGCUUAGUAGCCGUAAUUGGCAGAUGGAUUGUG